GGGGUCUGCAAGAGAGAGAGAUCUAGUCUCUUUUCUCUUUCUUUUGCCUAUUAAAACUCUGCUCUUAAACUCACUUCUUGUGUGUCUGUGUCCUCAAUUCCCUUGGCAUGAGAUAACAAACCUCAGGUAUUUACCCCAGACAACGACACUGCUUCAAUAUUUAGUAAUAAUACAUAAGUAUUAUGUAUUAUUAUGUAUACAUAAUAUGUACAUAAUACAUUAUAAAAUGUAUUCCAAGAAUACAAGAGUGGUUCCUUAGUAGAGCAUCAAUUAAUACAAUUAAUCGUAUUAAUAAAGCUAAGGAAAAAAAUCAGAUUGUUAACUCCAUAAAUGCCAAAAAGGUAUUUAUUGCCUCCAUAAAUGCCAAAAAGGUAAAUGCCAAACAAAAUUCAACAUGCUUCCAUGUCAAAAAUACUAAAUAAUAAAUAGAAAUUGGUGGAGGUUGCAGUGAGGCAAGAUCGUGCCAUUGCACUCCAGCCUGGGAGACAAGAGCGAAACUCGGUGUCAAAAAAGAAAAAGAUGAGUGGGAAAAUAAGUUCUGAUAGUUCUGAUGAAUAAUUAAACAGUUUUUCAUUGCCACUUUUAUCUCUAAGAGGGUGAAUUUGCACAAAUCAUUCUUAAAAUUAUGAGGUCCAAAGUGAUGUUAUGAUUUAUUAAUACAAAGUGAAAUAAUUAAAUCAACCUAGUUAACAUAUCCAUCACCUCAAAUAUUUAACAUUUUGUGGUGAGACAUUUGAAAUUUACUCUCUUAGCAAUUUUGAGAUGUAAAACAAGCAACCUGUGCAUUGUGAGUAUGCUUUGCAGAUGUGAUGCCUGGAUCUGUCAUGCUGGUUGUGGCGGAUCCUUUGGUGCACCCUUGGCCUACCUCUGGUUGCAGCUGCAGCUGUGGUGGUAGGAUCUACUUCCUCUACCAUUGUAUGCACAAUGCCUUUUCUGCCUCUAGGUUUGUUUGGAAGCCUUGUACUUAGUCCAAGUACAAACACAGCCCAGAAGUGACAGUGAGUUAAUACCCCUGGGAGCAACUCUCAACCAGUGAGGGUUAAAGUCAGUCAGUGCACAGUCUCCUGUUCUUCAACACGAAUUUAGGAGACAUUCUUUGUGCUUCUCAGAGGUUUUGGUGGAAUUGAGCCCCUACUGUCUACAGAGAUGACCCAAAUAAUACAUAAUUUAUUGACUUUUCUCCUUCCCUCUAUCAGUCUGCUUUAUUGUCUCACAAUCCUGCUGCGUGUAAUCAGCCCAAAAGUUCACUACCUGCACCCAAGCCCUCAUCACAGGUUCAAAAUAUCCAAAGAUUUUAAUUAUUCAGAAAUAAAGAGCCAUGGGACCACCCAAUUCAUUGGGGAGUGAAUUCUUUUCUAGAAUUGAACUCUUAUCUCAAUCAUAUCAGCCAAAGUAUCUCAAUAAUUAACAAUUGCUGUUGUUUUUUUGCUUUGAAAAGAUUUUGUUGUGAAAUAUUUCAUAUCUACAGAAGAGAACAUACAAUGUAAAUGAGUAGUGUAAAGGAUAAAACGAGGCCAGGUGUGGUGGCUCAUGCCUGUAAUCCAAGGAUUUUAGGAGUCUGAGGCUGGAGGAUUGCUUGAACCUGAGUUUAAGACCAGCCUGGGUAACAUAAUGAGACCCUGCCUCUAAAAAACAUUUUAAAAAUCAGCUGGAUGUGGUGGCAUGUGCCUGUAGUCCCAGCUACUUGGAGGCUAAGGUGGAAGGAUUGCUUGAGCCUGGGACGUCAAGGCUGCAGUGAGCUGUGAUUGUACCACCUGGGCAACAGAGCAGGACCCUGUGUCAAAAAAAAAAAAAAAAAAAAAAA
Molecule: long non-coding RNA, 1804 nt
Organism: Macaca mulatta (Rhesus monkey)
Lineage: Eukaryota; Metazoa; Chordata; Mammalia; Primates; Cercopithecidae
Source: Ensembl